Molecule: ribosomal RNA, 460 nt
Filed under: uncultured bacterium
Lineage: Bacteria
Description: partial 16S ribosomal RNA
Rfam family: Bacterial small subunit ribosomal RNA
Source: RNAcentral
CCUACGGGUGGCAGCAGUGAGGAAUAUUGGUCAAUGGGCGUAAGCCUGAACCAGCCAAGUCGCGUGAGGGAUGAAGGUUCUAUGGAUCGUAAACCUCUUUUAUAAGGGAAUAAAGUGUGGGACGUGUCCUAUUUUGUAUGUACCUUAUGAAUAAGGAUCGGCUCACUCCGUGCCAGCAGCCGCGGUAAUACGGAGGAUCCGAGCGUUAUCCGGAUUUAUUUGGUUUAAAGGGUGCGUAGGCGGCCUUUUUAGUCAGCGGUGAAAGUCUGUGGCUCAACCAUAGAAUUGACGUUGAAAAUGGGGGGCUUGAGGACGUUAGAGGCAGGCGGAAUGCGUGGUGUAGCGGUGAAAUGCUUAGAUAUCACGCAGAACCCCGAUUGCGAAGGCAGACUGCCAAGCCAUGACUGACGCUGAUGCACGAAAGCGUGGGGAUCAAACAGGAUUAGAUACCCUAGUAGUC